Molecule: non-coding RNA, 203 nt
Organism: Pelobates cultripes (western spadefoot toad)
Lineage: Eukaryota; Metazoa; Chordata; Amphibia; Anura; Pelobatidae
Source: the annotation of a GenBank genome assembly
AAUUAUUUCAAUGCUUUUCUAUGGGGAUUUUAGCGACACUGGAGGUCCUCACGUAGCGUGAGGACGUCCAGCAACGCUAUAGCACAGAAAAUCUGUAGCUUUCGGCCUUCAUUUUAGUAGUUUUUUCAGAUAGCGACCUUUUGCCUAUUUUCUCACAUGGCAGGUCCAGGCCUGGUCACUGUGGCAAACCUAGCCACUUCUAG